GCUGCCAGAGCCUUCUGAGCCUGCGCAGAUACGCUGACCCGGAAGCCGCUGGCUGACUUUAUCGCAGGUCUGUGGGUGUCUGAAUUCCAUUCUGGUAAUAUUUCCAUGUUAUAGAGCUUGGGCUGAAUGCUGAGAAGAAGCCAGAUGAUUAAUUCAUGAACUAACCUUAAUACACUCUGGGGAUGAGACUUGAGCUGGUGCCUCAAAGAGGGAUAAGAUUUGGAAAGUCAGUGUGACUUUGGGCAAGGUACUUCAUCUCAGCUAAGCCUGUUUCCUCAUCUAUAAAGUGGGUAUUAAGUUAACAGUACCUAUUAUAAGCAUUUAUAGGAUUGUUCCAAAAAGUAGAUGUGAUAAUGUGUGGAACAUGCCACGACAGUCCCUGAAGCACAGUAAGUAUCCAGCAGUUCCUAACCAGCAGCAACUGCUGCCCCUGUGUGGGUCUGCUGCACUGCCCCUAGAUUCUGCUUGUAAGGAGACAAGAAGCCCAAAUAGAUACAGUUCAUUAUUUAUGCAGUCAGGAAAAGCAAGAUCAACAUGGUGUCAGUUCCACAUGACUUGUUCCAUAAGACAACAUGAAAACACAGGGUCCAGAUGACAGACAACAUGAAGGAGACUGUUCCAUAGCACAGCUAAGCAGUUUGAUAGCCUGCAGCUAUACCCUAAGUGGGCCAAGUUGGAAAGGCAGGCCCUUGCCUCACCAGACCCAGAGAGGCUCAUGAGAAAUUGCCUUGUGACAGGCUCUGCUCGCAAGAAGUGGCCCUGCGGCAGCUUCUCACGAAGCUGCACAUCUCUUGUUUUCCAGUUGUAGGAAUAAACGGGGGAAUUGCUUCAAAAUUGGAAGAGAAACACCUAUAGCACCUCUCAGGAUUCCACACUACAAAGAUCAACCCAGAUGGGUGUGCUGGCGGUACUGGACAGACCUAGGCUUCCUUGGAAAUCCCAUAUUCUGUCACUAGAGGGCGAAGGCACACAGAAAAACCCACACGGAGCCCAGAUCCAAUCACCAGUCAUCAAGCCUCAGACGACUGGUUUUCGAAGGUACCCACAAGUCCAUUGUAAUACAGUGACAAUUCUAUAUAUUCCUCCUAAAAAGGGCUCUGAAUCUUCUGGUACUACUGACCAAUAUCAUCAAAUGAGCCAGAGGACUCCUGCCAGAACUAGUUGCCAGCUAGCUUUCAAGGCAGCUUUCCCAAGCUAAGCAGAAAAAACGAGGGAAAAUGGGAGUCGCUGAAAGUACACCACUCUGGGUCAUGAGGCUUAUGGACAGUGGCUCAUUUAAUUAAUUUAUUUACUUUUUUAGUUUUAUUUUUUUUUUUUUUGAGACAGAGUCUCACUUUGUUGC
Microcebus murinus (gray mouse lemur) is the source of this 1342-nucleotide non-coding RNA. NCBI's taxonomy places the organism in Eukaryota, Metazoa, Chordata, Mammalia, Primates, Cheirogaleidae. The record is from RefSeq and is a predicted model, not a curated record.